This 243-nucleotide ribosomal RNA is filed under the name Triticum aestivum (bread wheat). RNAcentral's name for it is "partial small subunit ribosomal RNA". The record is from RNAcentral. Lineage: Eukaryota; Viridiplantae; Streptophyta; Magnoliopsida; Poales; Poaceae.
AUGGACUGGUGGCUGCGGGCUAAGGCGCAAACCCCUCCAGCACUAUGCAAAGCUCUGCAAUCGAUCACACUGCUCGUCCCCUGGAUGAUCUGGAAACAGAGGAACGAAUGCGUCUUCGACAAUGCAAGACCCUCGAUAGAUGCGAUAGUGACAGGAUUAAUUAAAGACGAGGCCAAAUGUUGGGCGCAAGCUGGGGCACAUGGGCUGCGAGUAGUCCUGCCCGCCUCUUGGGAUGUCCACUGA